Molecule: non-coding RNA, 588 nt
Organism: Prunus avium (sweet cherry)
Lineage: Eukaryota; Viridiplantae; Streptophyta; Magnoliopsida; Rosales; Rosaceae
Source: RefSeq, a predicted model, not a curated record
UCAUUUACCAUUUCACAAUUUAGCUAAAAUUACAAAUUGACCAUUAUUUUUUAUCUUUUUGUUCAGAAUCUGACUUUUCUGUUUUAUUUUUUAAUUUUUAUUUAUCUAAAAUAAAACGAAACCCGAGAAAAUCAAUGCCAUCUUCGAGCUGUCGGACCCGAACCCCUUUACUACCAACUACCAAGGUAAACGAAGGCAGAAGAGACAGAGGAGGAGCAAGAGAGAUGGGGAAGCGAGUCGGGAGCAGGAACUCGAACGAGUCAGCAUUGACUCGGUGGGUUAGGUCGGUCUUUGGGUUCGUCAAAUUCGCCGAGUUUGAAAUCCUGUUUGUUCUUUUCUUCGUGAUCGCUUUCCUCGUUUUCAAAGAUCUCACAUCGAGGCCGGAAUACAGUCAGAUUCUCGUAAAAAAGCCAGGUGGAGGUGGUUUUUGGCCGUACUAGCUGGAGAUCUCAUUGUUGGAUUAACGUUUGGUAUUUUGGAUGUUGAUUAUGGACUUUUUUUGUAACACAACAGGAUUUCUUCCCAUCCGUGUAUUUGUUGUAAGUAUAUGAUUAAACAACAGCUAUCGAUAUUGAACAAAUUUGUCUA